This 45-nucleotide non-coding RNA is filed under the name Schistosoma mansoni. The record is from RNAcentral. Lineage: Eukaryota; Metazoa; Platyhelminthes; Trematoda; Strigeidida; Schistosomatidae.
AUUCAGCUGAUGAGUCCCAAAUAGGACGAACAGUGUAUCCUGGAU